Molecule: ribosomal RNA, 484 nt
Filed under: uncultured bacterium
Lineage: Bacteria
Description: partial 16S ribosomal RNA
Rfam family: Bacterial small subunit ribosomal RNA
Source: RNAcentral
AUUGAACGCUGGCGGCAGGCCUAACACAUGCAAGUCGAGCGGAUGAAGGGAGCUUGCUCCUGGAUUCAGCGGCGGACGGGUGAGUAAUGCCUAGGAAUCUGCCUGGUAGUGGGGGAUAACGUCCGGAAACGGGCGCUAAUACCGCAUACGUCCUGAGGGAGAAAGUGGGGGAUCUUCGGACCUCACGCUAUCAGAUGAGCCUAGGUCGGAUUAGCUAGUUGGUGGGGUAAAGGCCUACCAAGGCGACGAUCCGUAACUGGUCUGAGAGGAUGAUCAGUCACACUGGAACUGAGACACGGUCCAGACUCCUACGGGAGGCAGCAGUGGGGAAUAUUGGACAGUGGGCGAAAGCCUGAUCCAGCCAUGCCGCGUGUGUGGAGAAGGUCUUCGGAUUGUAAAGCACUUUAAGUUGGGAGGAAGGGCAGUAAGUUAAUACCUUGCUGUUUUGACGUUACCGACAGAAUAAGCACCGGCUAACUUCGUG